AAAACUAGCCAGUCUUUUGGGUAUGAAACCCAUUUGGGCGAGAGUAGUACUAGGGUGGGUGACCUCCUGGGAAGUCCUCGUGAAAGGGUUUC
Molecule: ribosomal RNA, 92 nt
Filed under: Triticum aestivum (bread wheat)
Lineage: Eukaryota; Viridiplantae; Streptophyta; Magnoliopsida; Poales; Poaceae
Source: RNAcentral